GAUAAACGCUGGCGGUCUGCAUAACACAUGCAAGUCGAACGAAGCUCUUUGGAGCUUAGUGGCGGACGGGUGAGUAACGCGUGAGGAUCUGCCUUUAGGACUGGGACAACGAUCGGAAACGAUCGCUAAUUCCAGAUAUGCAGUUAGUGAAACGGAGCAAUCCGCCUAAAGAUGAACUCGCGUCCGAUUAGCUAGUUGGUAGUGUAAGGGACUACCAAGGCAACGAUCGGUAGCUGGUCUGAGAGGACGAUCAGCCACACUGGAACUGAGACACGGUCCAGACUCCUACGGGAGGCAGCAGUGAGGAAUUUUCCGCAAUGGGCGAAAGCCUGAUCCAGCAAUGCCGCGUGAGUGAAGAAGGCCU
Molecule: ribosomal RNA, 364 nt
Filed under: uncultured bacterium
Lineage: Bacteria
Description: bacterial SSU rRNA
Rfam family: Bacterial small subunit ribosomal RNA
Source: RNAcentral